AUUGAACGCUGGCGGCAGGCCUAACACAUGCAAGUCGAACGAGUGGCGGACGGGUGAGUAAUGUCUGGGAAACUGCCCGAUGGAGGGGGAUAAGUACUGGAAACGGUAGCUAAUACCGCAUACCAUCGGAUGUGCCCAGAUGGGUUUAGCUAGUAGGUGGGGUAACGGCUCACCUAGGCGACGAUCCCUAGCUGGUCUGAGAGGAUGACCGGCUACAUUGGAACUGAGACACGGUCAAGCCUCCAACGGUAGGAGCCAGUGGGGAAUAUUGCACAAUGGGAGAAAGCCUAAUGCAGCCAUGCCGCGUGGAUGAAGAAGGCCUUCGGGUUGUAAAGUACUUUCAGCGAGGAGGCGUUACUCGCAGAAGAAGCACCGGCUAACUCCGUGCCAGCAGCCGCGGUAAUUC
RNAcentral lists this ribosomal RNA (406 nucleotides) under uncultured bacterium. RNAcentral describes it as "partial 16S ribosomal RNA". It matches the Rfam family "Bacterial small subunit ribosomal RNA", at positions 30 to 526 of the family's 1533-position model. The record is from RNAcentral.